Molecule: non-coding RNA, 143 nt
Organism: Gossypium raimondii (Peruvian cotton)
Lineage: Eukaryota; Viridiplantae; Streptophyta; Magnoliopsida; Malvales; Malvaceae
Source: Rfam
UAUUAAAAAUUUCAUCCAUUUCUAUUGUUAAAAAUUGGUAUGGUUGAUGAGAUAACCAGAUAGUUACACGUGGUGUGCACGUGUAUCUUAUGUUAAUGUAUAAAGACCAAUUUUUAAUAGAAAAAUGGAUGGAAUGUUUAGCA